Molecule: long non-coding RNA, 2124 nt
Organism: Ostrea edulis (European flat oyster)
Lineage: Eukaryota; Metazoa; Mollusca; Bivalvia; Ostreida; Ostreidae
Exons: 4
Source: RefSeq, a predicted model, not a curated record
UUAAAUAAGUAAAUGAACACUCAUCAGAAGAGAAUAUAUUUAAUGAGGAAAAGAAUGGGAAGUGUUUAAAAACUUGGAACUACAUUACGCUGUGCCUUGAUACGAAGUUAUGUGUCCCAGAGUCUACCCGGAAGUGUAAUUUGUUUCUAUCAGCUUUUUGAUAAACAGUCAGCACUGUGAUCCAUCAUGGCUUUGACUCUUAACAACAGAGGCAGGUCUGGAGACCACCGUGUGGUUUAUUGUGACAGAAAGCAUGAAGGGUUACUACAACGAGGAGGAAAAACAGUGUUCAAAUGUUAAAGCAUGAAGUGUUACUACAACGAGGAGGAAAAACAGUGUUCAAAUGUUAAAGCAUGAAGUGUUACUACAACGAGGAGGAAAAACAGUGUUCAAAUGUUAAAGCAUGAAGGGUUACUACAACGAGGAGGAAAAACAGUGUUCAAAUGUUAACGGUCGUAGGCAAUGUUUCAGAAAUGACACCAGUCGGGCUGAAUUCCGCAUUAAUAGCAUGCGUCGUUGGAUUUACUACUUUUACAAUCUUCGCUAUUGUGACAGGGAACAUUCUAGAAAUCGAAUAUUAUCACGAGAAAGACGAACAGAAAAGUCGUUCAGGAAUUAGAAUCGGACGAGAGAAGAGAAAUAGCUAGCUAUAAGAAUGGAUAUUAAGGCUACAUUUUGAGCAGUCGGGGGAAACAGGCGCAAAGGUGCAGCUGUUUUAGAAAAUUAACAAUGAUAUGUCUGUAUUAUAUGUGCACCUGAAGUCUUAUAAAAUCAUUGAAGUCUAGUGUCUUUAUAAUAAACAAGCACUAAGUCAAAAAUCUCCCGGUGAACGGAAACAUAAUACGGCUGUGUGUACUACUGAUGGAUAACUGAUGUUACAGGGAUUUUAACAGUCUCCAUUAAAGUCCGUAUAUUGAAAAAAAAAUGUUUGUAACACUGAUCUUGUUUGCAUGCUCAGCUUGUAGGAAUAGGGGAUCAAUGUUUUGCACGAGGAUGUUUAGGAAUGCUCAAGUCUUUAGGAAUAGGGGAUCAAUGUUUUGCACGAGGAUGUUUAGGAAAUAACUCUUUAAAAAGCUUCUCAAAAACAGCAGGCCCAUACUAACUGCUAUCAAUAUGCAAGCAUCUCCAGGUUGUGCAAAUUCAGAUUGGUUUCAAAUGUGGCCCCGGGUGAAGGUUGGACCACAUUAAGGGAUAGAAUUUUCCUGAAUCCAGUAAAUGUUUUACCAAGCCCCUAACUCUGCUCCUCACUAAAGCAUCAAAAGCUGUGGUGGAUGAUUCCAGUGGAAGCGCGGCAGUAGGAAUACGAAAUCCAGAUGCAAACUCGGAAAAAAUAAACAAUGUUGAAAUAUAGAGAUUACACCACUCAGAAAACAAAAAAUCAUCAUGUUGCCUUUAAUUGAUGGAGUUGGCUGUUAUUGGCAGAUUACUUGACAAAAAGAUGAUGAUAUCAAUUUUGAAACGUCUGUUUAAUAAGUGUUUGAUAAAUUAAUCAUUGUUCAUCAUCUUCAUUUGUUAAAUAUGAAAAGGAAAAUGUUUCAGAACACUGUACACGAAUACUCUCAGGAGCAGAUCUAUGUUUGUUGUUUUAUUUCGCUGGUAGCGAUUUCUGACCGAUGCCAAGGCGAAGAUAACGAAUAUUGAACAAUCUCAUAACUCCUAAAAGCAAUACAAAAUAGAGAGUUGGACAAACGUUGACCCCUGGAUACACCAGAGGUGGGAUCAGGUGCCUAAGAGGAGAAUGCAUUCCCUGUAACACCUGUCUGAGCCUUAUAUCUUCAUCAGGUAAACGGAGUUAUCCGUAGUCAAAAUCAGGGUACCAAGAACGGCCUAACAAUCGGUAUGAAACACGUCAAACAAUACAACCUAUCAAUGAGUCUAAUGUUGUCUAUGCACCUGAUCCCAUCUCUGGUAUACCCAGGGAUCCGUGUCCACCCAACUCCCUAUUUUGUAUUUGGAGUUUUGGGAUUAUUUGUUAUCGUCUCCUUUCAUGUUUCUGCCUCCUAUUUGCAAGUAAUGUUUUUAUUGAUCAAGUCAAAAUGCAAGAUGAAUAUGUCAACAUGCAAGUAAAAUAUAAUCAGAAAAGAAUUUUGAAAUUUUUCAAAAAAUUAUCAAAUAUCGCCCACA